CCGGGGGGUCGGCGUUGGGGGACUUCGGGAACCCCUAAGACGGGAUCCCGGCCCCGAAAUACAGUGGCGGUCUCGCCGCAGCCUCUCAUGCGCAGUAGUUUGCACAACUCGCACCGGGAGCGCGGCGCGUCCACGUCCGUAAAACACCCAACUUCUGAAAUGUUGACCUCGGAUCAGGUAGGAAUACCCGCUGAACUUAA
RNAcentral lists this unclassified non-coding RNA (200 nucleotides) under soil metagenome. Its description in RNAcentral is "partial contains internal transcribed spacer 2 and large subunit ribosomal RNA". The record is from RNAcentral.